Molecule: long non-coding RNA, 731 nt
Organism: Athene cunicularia (burrowing owl)
Lineage: Eukaryota; Metazoa; Chordata; Aves; Strigiformes; Strigidae
Exons: 3
Source: RefSeq, a predicted model, not a curated record
AUAACUUAGGUUUUGUAACCUGAAAGUUAAGAAGGAAGUUUUCAAUGAGGCACAUUGAACCUUUGUAUUUUACAUUAAAAAAAAAAAAAACCAAACCUCAUGUAAAUCUAAUACCAUUAUAACCAUCUUCCUUAAACACUGUAAUUAUAGCCUCAAAGGGUAAGUACACAAAUGGUAAAUUAAAUAUGGCCAUUUAAAUUAUUUUAUGCAAAGCCAAGAUUUUUUUUUUACUUAUUAAAGGAAUUUAAUACUACUUUUAGGUGUCCUUGUUAAAUGCAGAUUGACAAUGAAGUUAAAGAAUAAAACCUCAUUUAUUUUUAUGCUACUUUAUAAAUUUUCUGAAGUCCAAGUUCUCUCACAAUAUUGUACAGUAACUGGAUUAAAACAACCCUUAAGUACUUUCCACCACAUCUUUUACAUGAAACAACUUCCUAAACCCACAAUGUCUACAUAAUCAUUUUACAGUGAUUAUCACGAAAAUAUUAUGGAGAUAAAUAAAAGCGGACUGAUACGGAUUCUCCUCCCCAAACAAUGAAAUCCUAGCACCAUACAAAAUAUCAUGAUUUAAAACAAUGCUGGCUCUCCUUCUCUUUCUUUCAUUUUAAUAGCCAAACAGAUUAAUUUUCCAAAGCAUAACUGUUAAUAUGCAGACUGGUUUCCACAGUAGUUUUCAAUAUUUUUUUCUUACAUUUUGCUUCAAGAAGAAAAAUAUGAAGUAAAAAAAAAAAAAA